ACACUGCCCAAAUCAAAUCAUAGUACAACAUCACUCUUGGAAAAGGGUUUGUCCACUGCCUGAAAACCCAAACUUACUAAUUAAACCACCAUCUCCAGCCAGGAGAUCUCAAGCUCUGAAGAUUUAAAGGACAAAGAUCCUCUUGCUCUCAGGUUCGAACAAUGGGAAUGGAGAAAUUCCUGGUAGGGAGAGGUUCCCCCUUUAUGGUUGUACGCAACUCGACUUUGGAUUGGCAGGGAAGUGAGUUCUGGAUAUCAGAUAGUUAAGGUUUUUCUUCUGUUUUUGUUUACCUA
Lycium ferocissimum is the source of this 293-nucleotide long non-coding RNA. RefSeq lists it as uncharacterized. The transcript is spliced from 3 exons. The record is from RefSeq and is a predicted model, not a curated record. Lineage: Eukaryota; Viridiplantae; Streptophyta; Magnoliopsida; Solanales; Solanaceae.